GACGAACGCUGGCGGCGUGCUUAACACAUGCGAGUCGAACGAUGAGGCCUAGCUUGCUAGGUGGAAUAGUGGCGAACGGGUGAGUAAUACGUGAGUAACCUACCUUGAACUCUGGGAUAAGCCUGGGAAACUGGGGCUAAUACCGGAUACGACCAAUCUCCGCAUGGGGUGUUGGUGGAAAGCGUUAUGUAGUGGUUAUAGAUGGGCUCACGGCCUAUCAGCCUGUUGGUGAGGUAACGGCUCACCAAGGCGACGACGGGUAGCCGGCCUGAGAGGGUGACCGGCCACACUGGGACUGAGACACGGCCCAGACUCCUACGGGAGGCAGCAGUGGGGAAUAUUGCACAAUGGGCGCAAGCCUGAUGCAGCGACGCCGCGUGAGGGAUGACGGCCUUCGGGUUGUAAACCUCUGUUAGCAGGGAAGAAGAGAGAUUGACGGUACCUGCAGAGAAAGCGCCGGCUAACUACGUGCCAGCAGCCGCGGUAAUACGUAGGGCGCGAGCGUUGUCCGGAAUUAUUGGGCGUAAAGAGCUUGUAGGCGGUUUGUCGCGUCUGCUGUGAAGGCCGGGGCUUAACUCCGUGUAUUGCAGUGGGUACGGGCAGACUAGAGUGCAGUAGGGGAGACUGGAACUCCUGGUGUAGCGGUGGAAUGCGCAGAUAUCAGGAAGAACACCGAUGGCGAAGGCAGGUCUCUGGGCUGUAACUGACGCUGAGAAGCGAAAGCAUGGGGAGCGAACAGGAUUAGAUACCCUGGUAGUCCAUGCCGUAAACGUUGGGCACUAGGUGUGGGGGACAUUCCACGUUUUCCGCGCCGUAGCUAACGCAUUAAGUGCCCCGCCUGGGGAGUACGGCCGCAAGGCUAAAACUCAAAGAAAUUGACGGGGGCCCGCACAAGCGGCGGAGCAUGCGGAUUAAUUCGAUGCAACGCGAAGAACCUUACCAAGGCUUGACAUAUACUGGACCGCAUCAGAGAUGGUGUUUCCCUUCGGGGCUGGUAUACAGGUGGUGCAUGGUUGUCGUCAGCUCGUGUCGUGAGAUGUUGGGUUAAGUCCCGCAACGAGCGCAACCCUCGUUCUAUGUUGCCAGCACGUUAUGGUGGGGACUCAUAGGAGACUGCCGGGGUCAACUCGGAGGAAGGUGGGGAUGACGUCAAAUCAUCAUGCCCCUUAUGUCUUGGGCUUCACGCAUGCUACAAUGGCCGGUACAGAGGGUUGCGAUACUGUGAGGUGGAGCUAAUCCCUAAAAGCCGGUCUCAGUUCGGAUUGGGGUCUGCAACUCGACCCCAUGAAGUCGGAGUCGCUAGUAAUCGCAGAUCAGCAACGCUGCGGUGAAUACGUUCCCGGGCCU
Molecule: ribosomal RNA, 1347 nt
Filed under: uncultured bacterium
Lineage: Bacteria
Description: bacterial SSU rRNA
Rfam family: Bacterial small subunit ribosomal RNA
Source: RNAcentral